GGGUGCUGCAGCAACCUCAGGACCCCCAGUUCCUGCGGCCAUGGCAACAGUGACAUCAUCGCACUUGGCGAGGGGGCAGGACGAGGCGAUGACAUCGUCACCUGAGCCAGACAUCGGUUGGCUUGAGACACUCCCAUGGGUUCGUAUCGGGAUCAUAGCGGGAGUUCUGUCGCUAACUGCUCUGGUUCUUGGGAUUCUACUGGCAACACACAAGAUCUGAUGCCCCCACCGCCCAGAGAGAAAGAGAGACAGGAGCUACACGCAUCUCUCCUGGAUAGAGGCGUACAAGGACAGCGAGAUGAUGCUGGUUCCCUUACUCCCAUGGGGUGACCUCUCAUCACUCUUAUGUCAUGUUUGGAUCGAGGUGGGGGUACGGCUGGUGUGUCAGGGAUUUCCUGUGUAGGAAGGGUGGAUGCAUUUUUGAUGAAACCAGGCAUGAGAGUGAAGUCACAGUGUAGAAUGUGUCUUCGAUCCAAUGCCAGCUGACAAGGCUGACUAUAAAAGGGAGAUUGUUUUGUUUGUUUAGCCAAUUCUAUUCCUGCGGCCAAUAAAAGGUGAUGGUAACACUUUAUGUGAAGGUUACAUUGACUACCAUGUAACUACAUAUCAACGACAUGUUCCCGCUGUAAUUCACUUUGGAUAAAACCACUAACUCUUAAUACCAUUUCAUUAGUGUUUAUGUGACGUUUUUGUUUUUACUGUACGUGCUGCUACGUCAUUUCAUGAUCGUUUAUGUAACCAUAAUGCUGUAGUUUGUAGCUUAUUUGUGUUAUAUGUUGGCCCAAUUCUAUUGGACCAUGUAUUUACCCUAUUGAUUAUACCAUCUUAUCUAAUAAUAAAACCACUGGCUUCCUCCAGUGCUCUAUAGUCA
Molecule: long non-coding RNA, 871 nt
Organism: Osmerus eperlanus (European smelt)
Lineage: Eukaryota; Metazoa; Chordata; Actinopteri; Osmeriformes; Osmeridae
Exons: 2
Source: RefSeq, a predicted model, not a curated record